Molecule: non-coding RNA, 91 nt
Organism: Mycena vulgaris
Lineage: Eukaryota; Fungi; Basidiomycota; Agaricomycetes; Agaricales; Mycenaceae
Source: the annotation of a GenBank genome assembly
GGCUCAAUGGUGUAGGUGCACAUCCUCAGGAAAUGUACUUGAUGUCUUUUCCAUUCCGAGAAAGGAGUGGGUUCAAUUCCCGCUUGAGCCG